Molecule: non-coding RNA, 6774 nt
Organism: Rhopilema esculentum
Lineage: Eukaryota; Metazoa; Cnidaria; Scyphozoa; Rhizostomeae; Rhizostomatidae
Source: RefSeq, a predicted model, not a curated record
UCUGACGAAGAAAGAAAUAAGCUAAACGACAUGAUCGCAAGUGUUGGUUAACUUUGUCAAACCUACGAGCUUUAUUCAUGAUAUGCUCAGAUAAUACAAAUUAGAAGGAGGAGGGCUUUGAAUGCUUGUCGAUGCAAAUUACACCCCUAAAUCCUACGGCAAGCUACAAAUUAAACUAAGCAUUUAUCACUUUAUGCAGCGCGAGCUACAAAACAAUUCACAUUCUGACAACAUUUAAGGGGCAAAUCAAAGUUCAUAGCCAUGCACCAAAAGAACAGUAUAAAAAUAUGAAGAGUCAAAAUCAAAAUGAUUGCUGAUUACAAACAUUUUUUCGGCAGUGAACUGCCCCUCGAAAUUUUUAAACUAUGACACUCAAUAACCCAGUUUGCAUUUGAGUGGGUCUUCGUCCAGAGAAAGAUCUGACCAAAACAAGUGGUGGGCUGGGGGGCUAAACGUUAAGGAGAAGACCACGCCUUUUGGCUUGGCUGAGAUUGCUUCCCUCGACUAUUCAGAAACGCCCUCUACUACACUGAUGUCUUAUCUAUUUCAUGAGUUUUUUUAAAUGUUUAAAAUAUUGUUUCUUUCUUGGUUGAUUUCUGUCCUUUUGCGGUUAUUCGCAAAUAUAUUUCUUGGGCUAUUUUCGAAAGCUUUUUACGUUAAUUUUGGUUCCAUUUGAGAUACGGCAUAGUCUCUAUAGCAAUAGUGAAAAUGGUGGUUCAGUUCUUUCAGCUAGGUGGCUGAGUUUCAUAGGUAAUUCUACUUUACAUUUUAUAAUUAUCUAGUGGUUUUAAUUUGUUUUUCUUUGUGCAACAGUUGGUCUUAAUUAGUUCAAACUAGACCUACCUUUUUCAACCCACUGUAAAAUGUUAUAACAAUAAUAAUGGAAACUUUUUAUUUUCAAUUCAAUUAAAACUACAAUUACAAAUUUCACUAUUACAAAGGUAAUUUGAAAUUGGCUAGCCUGUGUUAACAAAGAAAAAGACGAAUACAAGCACAGACAAAAAUAAAUUAAGAAAGAAAAAAAGGAAAAGUUUGCUCGCCUUUGUUUGUUUCAGAAGUUGUCAGUAGCAGAGAUUCUGCGGCAUAUAAUAAUGGAAACUUUUCAUUUUGAAUUCCAGUUUAAAACUACAAUUCCAAAUCUCACUAUUACAAGGUAAUUUGUCACUGGCUAGCCUGGUUUACAAAAUAAAAACUAUUACAAUCGUAGUAAUGAGAAAAGAAAAAAAAUGUUAAAAGGGGAGUAGCUCUGGAUUAGUCCAAGUUUUGUUUCUACAGCAGAAUAUAUAGUAUGUGAUGCGAAUGGAGAUGCUUGUAAGUUUGGAGAUGAGAUAGCGUUUCUGUUGAUGAUCAAUGGACAAAGAGUCACACAUGUCGAUGAAUGAGCUGGAGGAGGUGCCAAAAAUACCAAGUGAACUGAUGGAAAGAUUGACAAACGAGACUGACUUAAACUGACGUUUUAAGUCAGAUACGAGGGUGGCAUAUUUCUCUGACUUUCUGACAGCAUUGCAGUUGAGAUUUGUUUCAAAGCCUAUGGUUAACUCUAAAAUGCACAGACAGUUUUCCUUAGGUUUGAGAAGUAAGUCAGGGCGUAGUUGAUCUCCAGUUAUGAUAGACGGGGAAAGAAAGCCUGGUAAAUCUGCGUAGAGAGAAGACCCAUUUAUUGCUUCGAAGAAAGUGGCUAGAAAGUUUAAUGCAGAAUUAUGAUGCCAAGUAUAGCGGCCUUGGUCAAGGUACACUUUGCAUCCAGCAACAACGUGUAGAAGUGUUUUUGGAAGAAAACAGAAUUCACAGUCAGAUGUUUGACUAAGGUUCCAUUUCAGCAGAUUUUUACGAGUUGGAAGAGUGUUGUUAAGAUACUUGAUGGUAAAGUUAAAGAUGUUACUAGGCAAAUUGCUCUGUGUACUUGACUAAAUACCGUUCAGCUUUUCCAGUGAAUGUUUCAGUAGGAAGGUAAUUGUAGCUCCCUGAGAUGGUAAGUUUUGAGAGAGACGUUCUUUGUUGUCUGAUUUGACAGCCUUUAAUACCUCUUUAGUAUUCGAUAGAUGUCGUACUGUAGGUUCGUGCCAUGACUGGUGUCUUUCCAUAGGGUUUGAAUGUCAAUGUUAGGAGAAGAUUUUAGGGCAUUGCGACAGACCGUUUGGCAUUGCGUAAAUUUGAUAGAAGGCAGUUGUAGAUUUAGGCCAAACUGAUUUUUUGAGAGGAUUAUUCCACUCAAUGUUGCAGAAACAGGAAGAUCAAGCCACUGACGAAUGUAAUUGGAAACAAGAUUGUCCAGGUUUUGGACAACCCAGGUCUUUGAUAGAUCUGCAACAGUAAAAUGCCAUGAAACUUUAAACAGAACAUAACGAUGGUAUAAUAGCAGUUUGUUUUUAGGGUGGGGAGGUAAGUCGUCAUUAUCCUUCAUAAGAGUAGAGAAAAGAGAAACGAGUUUAGAUUUAUGAUCUUGGUUACUCAUUUCAAAAUUAAAGAAACGACCAAGAUACUUAAAGGAAUCGCCAUUUUUGACAGCAGGUACUAUUUGGUUACAGAUGAAAAGUUUCGGUUGAAAUUGGAGGGAUCGCGUAGAGGGUUUCUUGACACCAAAGGUAACACAUUUGUCAACCCUGACAAUGAAGCUAGCCCAUUGGCACCAUCUGGUAAAGCAGUUUAAUAAGAGUUGGUUCUCCUCUUCUCCACUGGUAACAACAGCAGCAUCAUCAGCAAACUGAAACCAGUGUACUGGCUGAACCAUGCGGUCAUUCCCAUCAUGGGGGGAGAAACCAAGCUGCUUAUAUUUAUCUGAUUUGAUGUAUUGUAUGAGCGUUUUGAAGCAAAGGUUGAAAAGAAGGGGGCUGAGGCAGUCACCUUGCAAUACGCCACGGCGAACGGGAAUCGCAGGGGUUUGGAAUUUAACAGUUAUGAUACAGGUCUUAAAAUCUAGAUAUAAGCUUGAGACCAAUGAUUGAAUUUCCGAAGGUAUAUGAUGAUAAGCAAGAAUAGCUGGUAUCAGCUUGUGGUGAACUUCGCCAAAGGCGUUUUUGAGAUCCAGCAAAGAUACCACUAAAGAUCGUUGCUUAAUGCGAGCUUUAUUUAUUAAAUGGCUCAUCACUGCUGUGUGCCCUAAUGUACCUGAUACUUUUGAGGUGAAGCCUUUUUGAAUUUGGUGCUCGAUGAAGCCAUUGUGUUUCAGAAAAGUGAAGAGGGAGUCACGUAAGCAAGGAGUGAAUAUUUUUAAGGGCACUGAUUCUAAAGUGAUUGGCCUGAAAUUUGAUGGAUCAUCUGUGCUGUCUUUUCUGUGAAUCAAGAUAGUGGAGGCCUUUUUCCAUUCAGAUGGUACCUUACCUGAAAGCCAGACAACACGAAUUAUUUCAGUAAGAAAGGAACGAAGAUAGGGGCUUCGUUUGAAACAGAUGAUGGAUAUCUUAUCAAGUGGACAGGGAGAAGUAGAAGCUUUCAUACGCCUUAUGAUAGAAGUAAUGGUUUUGUAACUAGGUGGCUCUAGAUCAAAUGAAUAAGAUGGUUCAUUGAAAGUAGGGAUCCAUGAAGGAAUGGUGAAAUUUUUGUUAGGUGCGAUCGCAAAGUAUUCGGUACAUCCUGCAACAGAAAAAGUUGGAAGAGCUGAAGUUUCAUAUUGUAGAGUGCGCUUGACGUAAUUCCAGAAAUUCUUGAUAAUGUAACGGUCGUGGUUUGUUAUAUUGGAAGAUUUAGUGGGCGAGGUUUGUUUUUUUGAUUUUAUUACGAAGAAGGUUAGUGACAUAUUUGAUUUCAGUUAAAGGAGCAUUAGAAUGUUUCAAAGUUUUGAGUUCUUUUUUAAAUUCUUGGCUGUGAGAUUGGCGUAUUUUUCCUUGAGAUCUUCGUUGCAGCAUUCGAUUGUUCCACAAGUUUCUUUGAAGUAGUCGUAUAUGGAGUGGAAAUAUUUGUUAGCUAACAGCCAUUCCUGGUCAGAUCUUGGAAGACGAAUUCCAGGCUUGAUAUCAAAAUGAUCCUCAAGGGGAAUUUCAGCGUGACUAACAUUAUUCUCAAGGUCAGCAUCAUUCACGACCUCGAACAAUUGCUCUUCAUCAAAGCCUUUUAUGACUCUGCAGUUCUGAUGGAUGCGGAGGCCCUUUAUCCCUAUGCAUGACUUGCCGCAAGAACAUUUCACACAGCUUUGGUUGUUAAUAGCUGCAUCGCGAUUUCCGGAGUCAACGAGUGGAUAAUGAUAAUAAUAAUAAUAUAAUAAUAAUAACAACAUCAGCUUUCGAUGCAAACGUCAAACGUCUAGCCUACCAGCACAAAAACAGCCAGGUUGUGAAGUAAAAACCAACGCAGGAAAUAUGAACUAACCUUUGAUAUCUUUGUGAACUAUCUGCUUCGAGUGAAGAUACCGCAGCCCUUCGAGGAUUUGACAAAAAUAGUAUUUGCAGUCCCUUAAUGGCAAGCCACGGUCGAACUGUUCCCUGUACGCUUUCUUCAGAUCGUACAGUGUGCAGUCUGGAAAAUGCAAAGCCAUUUUAAAUAAUGAGAAUACAAAAAAAAGACUCAAUAGACCCAAUUUUUAAAGAAUCGUCUUUUACAAUUCUUAAUGUAUAUAUAUAUAUAUAUAUAUAUAUAUAUAUAUUUAUAUAUAUAUCUAGCUAUAUAUCUAGCUAUAUAUAUAUAAAAUCUUCACUAUAAAAAACCUAAAUGUACAAUAAAUAGUUCACAUAAUCUACAGAUGCACUUAAAGACUCAUUGCUAACAACGGGCCUUUGCGCUAAAGGCAAAUUGUCCAGGCGACGAUACAAACAAUGGCGGUAAACUUCCACGCAUUCAGCAAGGAAAUGCUAUGUGGGAUGCUUGCCCAGCACAAUGGCUUAUUGUUAGCAAUGAGUCUUCAAAGUUAUCUACAGAUUUCAUGUCCCAUUAAAAGAUAGCAAGUGAUUGGGACAAUUUAAUUGUUAUUUUUUUUAACUCGGCCAAUGAAUCGUAUAGUCUCCGUUUCUAGUCACAGGGGUGCUUAUGUCAUAAUGUAAUAUUUGUUGUUGUUGUUGCUGUUGUUGUUGUGGUUUUUGUUUUUAAUGUGUUUUAAAUCAUCAUUAUUAUUCUUAUUGGCUAAUUCAGUGAAUAUUCCAGAAGCCAUGGACUUGUUAUAAAAUUUUUGUGCAUGUAUCCCACGCAUGGUGCUUGAUGCGCAGUUCAAGUAAAAAAGCUCUGCUUGGCCGGGCCAGUUCGCUUGCAUGUGUUUAAGGCGGGAUCAUUAUCAAUUUAACCUAGAUCCCGGUUAUACGGGCUGGCUCAUUUGCAAAACAACGCAUUUGUAAAACAAGAGAAUUUCUUGAUACAAGUUAAAUAUCGGCGUGGCGAAUUAGCCCGGCUUCAACUCUAUAAAAACCUGCGAUGCAGGUAAGUUGAUUUCAUUGUGAGGUUACCUGCACGUUCCAUGAGGAUAAGACCGCGACUUUUCAUGCCGUUGCUAAGAGUCCUCUCGCAAUUGAAUUUUAUGAUGGCCAUUGCACCAAGUAGAUUUGGAUGGUUUUGGCGGAUCGCUCGGUAAAUUUCUGCUUCCUUUGUUGGGUCCUUCUUAACCUACAGAUAUAUAAAGUAUAACAAAAUGCAAUGGCCUAGCAGCUAGCAAGAUGGUCUGGAAUGACACAUCACAUGAUUUCGAAUCAUUUUGAACAAAAGCUGAAAACGCAUUUAAAGAAAAGACUAAACUUAAAGCACGUCUACACAUGUAUGCUACAGGGAUCUAUUCGUGUAAAAAUAACAUUAAAAUGAAGAAUGAAAAUGAAAAACUGCUGCAUAUUAGCUUACUGAUUAAUCAACUGAUUACCUUAGAACAAUUUACCCCACACCCAUUAAUUGGGAAGCUCUGUGUAGCAAAACUAAGUCAAUUAAUUUUAGAACAAAACUAAGUCAAUUAAUUCUAACAAAACUAAAUAAAUCUUAAUUGAAAACUGUUCUUAAUCCUCUGCUGAAAGAAACUGGGUAAAUUAUCAGUCUAACCAGAGCUGGCCUCGUUUUAUGUUCUUGUGUAGACUUAAAUGUAUUGACAUACCUCUUUCACAGCAAGGUCUGCCUCUACUUCUUUCUCCGCAUGGUAGAACCACCCCCUGUAUGCAUGGCCACCACCUCCUUUGCCAAGCUUUAUUUUAUGAAGGAACGUGAAAUCUACGUCCUCGCGCACAACGGAACCUUCUCUCAACAAGGUGGUUGUCUGAAAAAAAAAUUAAUCGAAACGUUACCUCGAGCUUAAAACAAAAGUGAUUAACAAACUGUGGUUUACAACCAAUGACAACAAAGAUUGGCAAAGAAUUAAAACAGUAACUGACACAUGAUGACAACAAUAAUUGUCAUCCAAAGAUAACAUUGAUACUUGCACUGUAGAUCACUCUCCCGUCUACUUUUCUCUCGUCUCUUCUUUGCAGCCAAGUUCUGCAAGAGAGUAUUGAAAACAAACAUUUAACUAAGCAAUAAGACCUAGACCAGAUUUCCAUACUGGACAAGUUUUCCAUACGGGAAUUAAAUUCCUGGCUGUAUGACUACAAACGGUAUGAUAAUUUCAUAUUAUACUGCAAAAAAUUGAUUGGUAGAAAGCAGACCAUAGUUUUACCCUGUCGCCGCAUUUUUUUUUCUUUAAAACAGUGCUUUAUUUGUGACUAGAAACAUAGAAAAUGCAGUGCAGAAUAUAAGGAAAAAUAUGACUAAAGUAGAAUUACACGUCCAGUCAUGUGACGGACAUUGCUUUUAUCAGUCAUAUUGUUCUUGUUCAUAAAAAAACCUUAAAGGCUCCCAAUUAAAGGUUUAGAAAGAAAACAUGGUAAAGUUUUCAGA